RNAcentral lists this long non-coding RNA (1168 nucleotides) under Homo sapiens (human). RNAcentral describes it as "PREDICTED lncRNA (TCONS_00170852)". Lineage: Eukaryota; Metazoa; Chordata; Mammalia; Primates; Hominidae. The record is from RNAcentral.
CGUAGCUUCCUUGUCGUGUGGCCUCAGUCCUUCGCCGUCCCUCGCCGUCCUUCGCCAUCGCACGCCACCGCACCCCAUCUCUCGAAAUCUGCAGACAUCUUGAUUUUUCCCACGCUGUCUGUCAGGUCUCCGCCGCCACUCGACGCCAGGGCGCCGGGUGAGUCCACAGCAGGGCGCAUGGUCGGCUCCACUCUCACCAUCGGGGGAAACUGAGGCCCCGGGGAAGGCGGCCAGAGAGGUCAGGCCCUGUCCUUGGUGCAGUGUCUCGUCCUCUUUGCCGGAGUGAGCCCCCCAGGAUUCGCGUGUCCUCGGGAAAGACACUGGCAGGCCUUGUGGGCUGUGCUGCACCUCGGACGGCUUCGCACCAGCCAGCGCCCUCUCUCUCCUGCAGCACUCUGAUCUGCACCCCCUGAGGGGCUUCCACUGUCCGCGGGGUGAGAAUGCCCCUGGGAGUGUCACAUGACUGCCGCCCCAUGUGUGUGAGAGGCGUCCUCUGGGAGAGCAUGGAUCCUGAGGUCCCAGGAUUGUCAGCUGACCUCUGUCCUGUGUGCCCAGUGGCCCCAGGUGACGUGUCUUCAAGAAGAGGCUGAGCUGCGGUGCUUGUAAGAGUCAUGUGCUGUUCCUGGGGCUUGGAUGAUGUAGGGGAAGCAAGGUGAAAGUGGUAUCCCGUGGUUCCACGUUCUGUCCUGCUGUGGGGCUGUCCCUCACAUGCUUUCAGUGGCUGUUGCAGAGGAAGAGCCUCCGGAAAUCUGCGUGGGUAAAGUCUCAGCCUUAGAUCCAAGGACAGUCCAAGGAAGUCCUAAGACCAUGGAGUUGGUGAUCUGGGAUCUGGGUUUGCUGAUAUUUCUCACCGUGAAUCUCUUGGUGGUGUUUGUGGGCACGAGAGGGGCAGAGAAUGGAGAGUGAGGCUACCACAUGAAGCGUCACCAGAGCUGCUCCCUGCUGCCUGCUCAGAGCACCCCGGAUCCACUGUUCAAUCUGCACAAGAUUCGGGGUCCAGACAUGGGAGACUUCAGCUGCCUCAGAGGACCGUGGACAGGGAAGGCCAGCCUCGCAUCCCUCUGUCCAUGCCUGGAAUGACUUUAAUAACCAAGAGUUUUAUUUUUGAAUUUGUAGCUGUCGUUCACUUUUUACCCACCCAUUCAAUAAACCUUACAGAAUUGCUCCA